RNAcentral lists this long non-coding RNA (435 nucleotides) under Oryza sativa aus subgroup. RNAcentral's name for it is "lncRNA OsN22_03G022590". The record is from RNAcentral. Lineage: Eukaryota; Viridiplantae; Streptophyta; Magnoliopsida; Poales; Poaceae.
CGCUGGCCUCUGUCUCCGCCGCUGCUGGGCGCCGGCCUCCGUCUCCGCCGCCGCCGGGCGCCGCUCACCGCGCCGGCUUCCUCCCCCUUCGCCGCUUGCCGUGCCGGCAUCCGUCUCCACCGCUGCCAGGCGCGGGAGCGGUGGAUCCGCUGCCGCCGGCGCCUCUCGGGCCCGGAGGGGGCGUGCAGCGUAGCAUCCGGAGCAGCCACCGGUGACGUGGAUCGAGGUGGAAGAAGCACCGGCGAGGGAGAGCUCCGACGAGUCCUCCUCCUCCUCCUUCUCCGGCAGCAGGUCAGGGCGCAGAUCCCCUCCCAGCAGAGCGCCUGCUUCCUACAUCUCGCGAGCUCCGUCCAUCGAGAGGCUGCUCGAGGAGGACGCCGCACUGCUGCACGCGAGGGCGGAGGCGGGAUCUGCUACUGUGAGAGGGACUGGUGA